RNAcentral lists this ribosomal RNA (1414 nucleotides) under Escherichia coli. Its description in RNAcentral is "partial 23S ribosomal RNA". It matches the Rfam family "Bacterial large subunit ribosomal RNA", at positions 327 to 1746 of the family's 2925-position model. The record is from RNAcentral. Lineage: Bacteria; Pseudomonadati; Pseudomonadota; Gammaproteobacteria; Enterobacterales; Enterobacteriaceae.
UGUUAGUGGAAGCGUCUGGAAAGGCGCGCGAUACAGGGUGACAGCCCCGUACACAAAAAUGCACAUGCUGUGAGCUCGAUGAGUAGGGCGGGACACGUGGUAUCCUGUCUGAAUAUGGGGGGACCAUCCUCCAAGGCUAAAUACUCCUGACUGACCGAUAGUGAACCAGUACCGUGAGGGAAAGGCGAAAAGAACCCCGGCGAGGGGAGUGAAAAAGAACCUGAAACCGUGUACGUACAAGCAGUGGGAGCACGCUUAGGCGUGUGACUGCGUACCUUUUGUAUAAUGGGUCAGCGACUUAUAUUCUGUAGCAAGGUUAACCGAAUAGGGGAGCCGAAGGGAAACCGAGUCUUAACUGGGCGUUAAGUUGCAGGGUAUAGACCCGAAACCCGGUGAUCUAGCCAUGGGCAGGUUGAAGGUUGGGUAACACUAACUGGAGGACCGAACCGACUAAUGUUGAAAAAUUAGCGGAUGACUUGUGGCUGGGGGUGAAAGGCCAAUCAAACCGGGAGAUAGCUGGUUCUCCCCGAAAGCUAUUUAGGUAGCGCCUCGUGAAUUCAUCUCCGGGGGUAGAGCACUGUUUCGGCAAGGGGGUCAUCCCGACUUACCAACCCGAUGCAAACUGCGAAUACCGGAGAAUGUUAUCACGGGAGACACACGGCGGGUGCUAACGUCCGUCGUGAAGAGGGAAACAACCCAGACCGCCAGCUAAGGUCCCAAAGUCAUGGUUAAGUGGGAAACGAUGUGGGAAGGCCCAGACAGCCAGGAUGUUGGCUUAGAAGCAGCCAUCAUUUAAAGAAAGCGUAAUAGCUCACUGGUCGAGUCGGCCUGCGCGGAAGAUGUAACGGGGCUAAACCAUGCACCGAAGCUGCGGCAGCGACGCUGAUGCGUUGUUGGGUAGGGGAGCGUUCUGUAAGCCUGCGAAGGUGUGCUGUGAGGCAUGCUGGAGGUAUCAGAAGUGCGAAUGCUGACAUAAGUAACGAUAAAGCGGGUGAAAAGCCCGCUCGCCGGAAGACCAAGGGUUCCUGUCCAACGUUAAUCGGGGCAGGGUGAGUCGACCCCUAAGGCGAGGCCGAAAGGCGUAGUCGAUGGGAAACAGGUUAAUAUUCCUGUACUUGGUGUUACUGCGAAGGGGGGACGGAGAAGGCUAUGUUGGCCGGGCGACGGUUGUCCCGGUUUAAGCGUGUAGGCUGGUUUUCCAGGCAAAUCCGGAAAAUCAAGGCUGAGGCGUGAUGACGAGGCACUACGGUGCUGAAGCAACAAAUGCCCUGCUUCCAGGAAAAGCCUCUAAGCAUCAGGUAACAUCAAAUCGUACCCCAAACCGACACAGGUGGUCAGGUAGAGAAUACCAAGGCGCUUGAGAGAACUCGGGUGAAGGAACUAGGCAAAAUGGUGCCGUAACUUCGGGAGAAGG